UUCAUCACUGGAGUCCUCCUCCCCUGUUCUGGAGGUAACUUCCCACUUCCCUGGUACAAAUCCUAAUUUUUUUCCUUUGUUUUGAGAGCAACCCACUCAGUGUGAGGCCGAAUCCCUGCGUCUGCAGCAGAAUGAAAUGAGAUACUUCUCAGAGACGGGGUGAAGUGAUGAAGUGUUCAGCAGUGACCCAGCUGUGCAACCACUUCAAGCUUUCUGAGAAAACUGGGCAGGAAAUCUGUCAGGUCUUCACUGGAUGGAUGACAGUGGGGAGGACAAAGACUCCUGCUUGGAAAGUACACAUUGUGGUGUCAAAUGGUAAAGAAAUCUACUUUACCUUGGAAGGCGAUGAAGACGAGUAAAUAUGGCCAAAGUCACCAACCAGCAAGAUCUCAUAAAGGGGUGUCACAAAUAAAUGAAGAUCUAUUGGGGGAUCUUCAUUGGACAAUA
This is a long non-coding RNA of Oryzias melastigma (Indian medaka), 447 nucleotides long. RefSeq lists it as uncharacterized. The transcript has 2 exons. The record is from RefSeq and is a predicted model, not a curated record. NCBI's taxonomy places the organism in Eukaryota, Metazoa, Chordata, Actinopteri, Beloniformes, Adrianichthyidae.